GCCGGGUGUGGUGGCACACACCUUUAAUCCCAGCACUCAGGAGGCAGAGGCAGGUGGAUCUCUGUGAGUUCAAGGCCAGCCUGGUCUACAUAGUGAGUUCCAGGACAGCUGGAGCUAUGGGGAGACCCUGUCUCAAAAAGACCGAAAAAAAAAAAAAAAAGAAAGAAACAGGUUCUUACUAUGUAUCUCUGGCUAGCCUGGAACUUGCUAUGUAGACCUGGCCUCAAACUCACAAAGAAGCAUCUGCCUCU
Molecule: small RNA, 251 nt
Filed under: Nannospalax galili (Upper Galilee mountains blind mole rat)
Lineage: Eukaryota; Metazoa; Chordata; Mammalia; Rodentia; Spalacidae
Description: Metazoan signal recognition particle RNA (ENSNGAG00000006766.1)
Source: RNAcentral